CAAUAAGUGUUCAAUGGCACUUUUAAAAUCCAUUACCCACCUUGUGUGCAAUGUAAGGAGGAGGGGGGUCUGCCUCCCUCUUUCCAUUAUAUAUACCAAUUCUUCUCUUGUUGUCUACUUUUUGAGUAUAAAAAACUCGAAUA
This 143-nucleotide unclassified non-coding RNA is filed under the name uncultured Mortierellaceae. RNAcentral describes it as "sequence contains ITS1". The record is from RNAcentral. Lineage: Eukaryota; Fungi; Mortierellomycota; Mortierellomycetes; Mortierellales; Mortierellaceae.